CCUCCUCGCCGCCGCCGCCGCCACCACCACCACCUCUCCUUUCUAUUCUUCUGCCGCCACCACCCCAUCUUUCUUCUUCGCCUCUUUCCACACCCCUCAUCUGCCAUUCAUUCUCUGCAUCCGGGUCUCCUCGUGUAAUGUCAUGGCAUAAAUCGCAGAAACAUUCCUCUGUUCUUCCUGCCCUUCGAGCCCGCACCAGAAGCAGGGGUCCUCAUCGAUCGAUCUUUGAGGAUGAAAUUAGUCCCGGUUCUGUCGGCGUUAGCUGUGGUGUUGUUGGGGUUCGUCGUCAGCUUCUCUUUCCCGGCAUCGAUGACGCCCAAUCUUCAGUGUGGCGUACAGCCUUGGAGUAGCAGCGGACAGCGGGGCUGCAAACUCCAGCUCCAAUGGCAUUGACAGCAGCUUCCUGGGCAGUCUGUGGGCACCGUUAUUCAGGAACAGCGGUAGCACAUUAAAUGCCACUUCAGGGAUGCCUUAGAUUCUCCUCACCAUCGGCGACCACCCCUCCUCCUCGCACCAGAUUGAGCAGCAGGCUGGGCAGAGCAGAGCGGAGCGAACGGGCCAUGCCAGAACCAGCAUAACACGGUAGCGGGCGGAGAGGGCGAGGCUGAGUCGCUGGACUACGACCUGGUGGAGGAGGAAAUCCAGGGCUCGGGUUUCAUCUACAUGGUCGACUGCUCGGGUGUUGUGCCGCGGGUCAGUGCUUGGUUGCUCUUCAACGCCUUCAUCUUUAUUGUCUCCUACACCUUUGGCUACAUGCUUGGCCAACAUGACGGCCCAUGCAGCAAGUUUGAGGCCGACCGCAACCACGACAUUGACGGCAUCCAUAACAAUCACAACUUCCCAUUUAUGGUAUUGACGGCACAACAUUAGCACAGAUUAGCACAGAAGCUGGCAAGAUUAGCACAGACAUGAAGAAAAGAAAGACAUCCUCAGAUAAUUGUAUUGCGAGGAUCAUCCAUUUAUGGUAUUGACGGCACAACAUGUAUGCCUUCACAGCUUCAAAUCUGGUUUAACCUGUCAAGCGUGGGUCCAACCAUGGUGUUGCAAGCUCGGCAGCGACCCCUAGGUGAACUGCAGCGACGUCACGAAUUCAGACCGCAAGGCGGCCCACGCGUCGCGCGCCGCCGCCUCGCUCUCUCCGGCGCCACCGACGCGCCCCAUCACGCCUCCCCUCCCACCCACACGGCCGCGGGAGAGGGGCCCUCCUGCUCCCCGACCGCCGAUGACCCCGUCCUCCUCAGCGUCAACGACAACCGCGUGCCCCUCGAGGGUGUCAUCCAGGUCGAGAGGCUCAGCCAGGCCGACGCCCAGUCCAAGCUCGUCUCCUACGCGAAGACAGGGCUUCUGGCAGGAGGGGAUCUGCUUUUCCUCCUGAUCUUCUUCGUAAUUGGGAGGUUGAGCCAUGGCCUACCCGUGCUUCUAAGUAAGAAAAUAAGGAUGCACUGAUUCUCUAUAAGCUUGUCAAACAUUCUCUAUAAGCUUGUCAAACGACUUGUGGAAGACGAUGCAAAUGGAUGAAAAUAGUAACUCGGAAAGUUGAGCCAAAUAAUUUAAACCAGUGAGGUAUUAUGUUCAUGUAUUUUCAAUGGAAUCCUUUAAAAGAUAUUAUUACCAGUAUGUGGACUUGCAUUUGUUUUUAACUGUCCAGCUCCUAACCAUUGUUGCUUUGUAGUGGCCGUUGAUGAGAACAACUUUUAGUCAGAUUUCCUAUCGCACACUGAAUUAGUACAAUGUAUGCGUUUACACCUCAUCUCAACUAUGUGAUACCGCAAAAGUUGAGCGUUGUGAUAAUUCACCAUUCAGAUACUUCACUGGAGAAAUGUAUAGACAAUUCACUUAGGAGUGUACAAUUGCAGUAGUAAUGACAAGAAGCGACAGUGGGUCUACAACACUAUGUUUCAUGUGAUGUGAAUGGGUAUAUAUCUUACUUGCAAAUAUGCUCCCUUCUUUGUACCCUAUACAUUAGAUAUUUUGUUUUUUGAAUUUUUGGGCCAUGCUAAUUAUUUGAGUAAUUAGGGUCAUCCUGAUUAUUUCCAAUUUUAGGUCAUUCUAAAUUAUUUGGAAUAGUUUGCCAGCAUUGCUGGAGAUAAAUCCAAUAGAAAAAAGUGUAUAUAGCCCCCACAAGCAAUAUUUCUGGAACCAUGUUAUUACCACAUAUUUUAACAAAAAUGAACAUGAUUAAUUCAAAUCCUUAUUAAGAUACGGAUAG
Triticum urartu is the source of this 2209-nucleotide long non-coding RNA. RefSeq lists it as uncharacterized. NCBI's taxonomy places the organism in Eukaryota, Viridiplantae, Streptophyta, Magnoliopsida, Poales, Poaceae. The record is from RefSeq and is a predicted model, not a curated record.